CAGGACUCCGCAGUUCUCCUUCUCACAAUGAGGCUCCCUGCUCAGCUCCUGGGGCUGCUAAUGCUCUGGGUCCCUGGAUCCACUGGGGAUAUUGUGAUGACCCAGUCUCCACUCUUCAUGCCCGUCACCCUUGGAAAGCCGGCCUCCAUCUCCUGCAGGUCUAGUCAGAGCCUCCUGCAUAGUAAUGGAAACACCUAUUUGAGUUGGUUUUUGCAGAAGCCAGGCCAGUCUCCAAGGCGCCUAAUUUAUAAGGUUUCUACCAGGGACUCUGGGGUCCCAGACAGAUUCAGCGGCAGUGGGGCAGGGACAGAUUUUACACUGAAAAUCAGCACAGUAGAGGCUGAGGAUGUUGGGGUUUAUUACUGCCUACAGAGUACACGAUAUCCUCACACAGUGCUCUUUCAGCUGCAACAGCCGUGGCAUGGCAUACGCCGUAAGAAACCGGAAAUGAUCCGAGUGCCUGCACAGGGCACUGACACCCCACAGACUUUCCAGGAAGUGGUUGUCAUGUCCUCCCUGGAACAGCCACUAAAGAUCCCUACUGCUCUCAUGUAUGCAGGGACACUCAGUCACAUCACCAGGAGGGGACCCUAG
Molecule: non-coding RNA, 594 nt
Organism: Saimiri boliviensis boliviensis (Bolivian squirrel monkey)
Lineage: Eukaryota; Metazoa; Chordata; Mammalia; Primates; Cebidae
Source: the annotation of a RefSeq genome assembly